AUUGAACGCUGGCGGCAUGCCUUACACAUGCAAGUCGAACGGCAGCAUAGGAGCUUGCUCCUGAUGGCGAGUGGCGAACGGGUGAGUAAUAUAUCGGAACGUGCCCUAGAGUGGGGGAUAACUAGUCGAAAGACUAGCUAAUACCGCAUACGAUCUACGGAUGAAAGUGGGGGAUCGCAAGACCCCAUGCUCCUGGAGCGGCCGAUAUCUGAUUAGAUAGUUGGUGGGGUAAAAGCCUACCAAGGCAACGAUCAGUAGCUGGUCUGAGAGGACGACCAGCCACACUGGGACUGAGACACGGCCCAGACUCCUACGGGAGGCAGCAGUGGGGAAUUUUGGACAAUGGGGGCAACCCUGAUCCAGCAAUGCCGCGUGAGUGAAGAAGGCCUUCGGGUUGUAAAGCUCUUUUGUCAGGGAAGAAACGGUAGUAGCGAAUAACUACUACUAAUGACGGUACCUGAAGAAUAAGCACCGGCUAACUACGUGCCAGCAGCCGCAGUAA
RNAcentral lists this ribosomal RNA (502 nucleotides) under uncultured bacterium. Its description in RNAcentral is "partial 16S ribosomal RNA". It matches the Rfam family "Bacterial small subunit ribosomal RNA", at positions 30 to 523 of the family's 1533-position model. The record is from RNAcentral.